This is a regulatory RNA element of Brevibacterium casei S18, 60 nucleotides long. It matches the Rfam family "Actino-pnp RNA". The record is from Rfam. Lineage: Bacteria; Bacillati; Actinomycetota; Actinomycetes; Micrococcales; Brevibacteriaceae.
UUCGGUCCUCGGUAGUGGCCUCCGGAGGGAACCUUCCGUGGGCCCCGAUCGAUGACCGGC